RNAcentral lists this ribosomal RNA (468 nucleotides) under uncultured bacterium. RNAcentral describes it as "partial 16S ribosomal RNA". It matches the Rfam family "Bacterial small subunit ribosomal RNA", at positions 28 to 507 of the family's 1533-position model. The record is from RNAcentral.
GACGAACGCUGGCGGCGUGCUUAACACAUGCAAGUCGAACGGAAAGGCCCUGCUUUUGUGGGGUGCUCGAGUGGCGAACGGGUGAGUAACACGUGAGUAACCUGCCCUUGACUUUGGGAUAACUUCAGGAAACUGGGGCUAAUACCGGAUAGGAGCUCCUGCUGCAUGGUGGGGGUUGGAAAGUUUCGGCGGUUGGGGAUGGACUCGCGGCUUAUCAGCUUGUUGGUGGGGUAGUGGCUUACCAAGGCUUUGACGGGUAGCCGGCCUGAGAGGGUGACCGGCCACAUUGGGACUGAGAAGCGGCCCAGACUCCUACGGGAGGCAGCAGGGGGGAAUAUUGCACAAUGGGCGGAAGCCUGAUGCAGCAACGCCGCGUGCGGGAUGACGGCCUUCGGGUUGUAAACCGCUUUCGCCUGUGACGAAGCGUGAGUGACGGUAAUGGGUAAAGAAGCACCGGCUAACUACGUG